AUGCACAUUGCGCGUGGUUUCCGUGGCUCGUCGGCGGUCGGGGACACGGGGAGGCAAACGCGAGCAAUCAGGGUCUUUCUGUGUCUGUUCCUCCAAUCCUUAAAUCUUCUAUUUGAUCGUUAACUCCCGUGGUUUGAUGUCGUUCAUGCUUAGUUAUUUGAUUUCCCUUUUUUUUUUCUUCGGCUUUUUUGAGGAGACAUUUACAUUUACCUUUGUUAUGGAAGCACCCUUUGUUAGAUCUGAAUCACUCGCUGAAAAAUCAAUGAUGUAUCGUCCUAUUUGAUCUGGCUAACAUUGAUCACUGUCUUUUGUUUUGGUUUUCUUUCAUGUAUAAGUAAAAGGAGCAAUUUCAUAUAUUCAAUUGAUUUGGCUUGACUCUGGAAGGAUUUCUUUUUUUUUUUUUCUUUCCGUGUGAGAUAUAUGAAGAAACUGAAAUUCGAGUUAGCAUAUUGGUUCGGGAAGUUGGACGAUAAGUAUUAUAUAGGAACAGCAUUUUAAGGUUUCUGGCAAGAGAUAUGAUGCACAAGAUAGCUGUGCAUGGAUGGUAUAUUGGGGCAUUUGAACUUCCCUGGAGGAUUAUUCGGUGGCAGAACAGGGCCCAGGCAGGUGGAGCAUACUUAGGUCUAAUGGUCUCACUAUUAUUAUAUGAAUUCUUCCAAUAGAUAAUGGUUGCACUGGGUUGAAUCUCGAGCAAAUUUCAGUUGUUAUCUGUUAUUUUCUGUUAGGGGGCAUUGCGUGGUGGUGCAAUGGGAGAAGGAUUGGGCUAACAACCCUCCCAGGAUUCCCGAUUGCUGGGGCCAUAACUGAGAAGCCUGCUGGUAGGGGAUGCCACUCCUUUUAGAACCUUGCAAUGAGUUGCAUCGAUUUACUACAACCUUUGAAGGUUUGAACAAACUUUCCAAUCAGUUAUAAUCUAUGAGGAGUUUUUGCACUCAAAUGGAUUUAUGAUGUCCAUGAUGGAGGUAAGUUGAUGGAAGGUGCAAGCGGAGGAGCUGAGCUUCAUACUUUUCCUAAUAUGUGCUGAUCGGUGUCUAAGAAGGCCUGUUGAGUAUUUUUGGGUAUUUUUGGUAAGUGCUGAUCGUCGUUUUUGUUUUGUCUUUGGCAUUUCUUGAUUAUUAUGUAUUAACCCAUGGCUGUAAAUAACUUUCAUAAGCUGCCAUUAUUCACAUGUGAAGAGCGGGACCUUAUCUGAGUUUACACAAGAACCAAAAAAAAAGCAAGAAGAUUGAUGAUCAAGACUCCGGAUAUUUUGCCGAUUUCCUGGGCGUAUUUGUAUUUCUUUUGGUAAUUGCUUUUCAUUAUGCGAUGGCUGAACCAAAAUAUGAGGGAAAUUAAAUAGUAAACUGUUGAUGAUUUAGAAACAAGGAGAUCAGAGCCUUCAUCUUGCAACCUUGAUGGUACAAUCUUAUGCUUUGUAUGCCACGGAUACUUUUGCUGUUUAGUGUUACAAGGGAAACUCAAACAAAUUUGGUGAUGUUCUAUUUUUUUUUUUUGUUGGGUCAUGACGAACUUUUAGCUUUCAUCGUAUCAAAAUGAAUGGUGUUAAACAUUAUGAAAAGAA
Elaeis guineensis (African oil palm) is the source of this 1561-nucleotide long non-coding RNA. RefSeq lists it as uncharacterized. The record is from RefSeq and is a predicted model, not a curated record. Lineage: Eukaryota; Viridiplantae; Streptophyta; Magnoliopsida; Arecales; Arecaceae.